AACUCAGAGUUCAAGUUCAACCUCAGAGUUGGUUGAACCUCCUUUCUGAAACAGGCCACUGCCGUCCAGAUGUGAUGACAUCACGUUCAGGGUUAUAUCACCAGAAUAGGUUCUGCCUAACUGGACGCCUGUGAAUACACUAACGUGGGACAGCAAGUCAUCAAAGCGGGCCACAAAGAGACAGAAGUACUGCUGAACACGUCUGCAGGAGAUGGAGAACCUCAUCGUGCUGGGAGAGUCUCUGAAUCUGAACAAUAAACCUGAUCUCUGAACAUC
Molecule: long non-coding RNA, 276 nt
Organism: Oryzias latipes (Japanese medaka)
Lineage: Eukaryota; Metazoa; Chordata; Actinopteri; Beloniformes; Adrianichthyidae
Source: RefSeq, a predicted model, not a curated record